This 467-nucleotide ribosomal RNA is filed under the name uncultured bacterium. RNAcentral describes it as "partial 16S ribosomal RNA". It matches the Rfam family "Bacterial small subunit ribosomal RNA", at positions 28 to 506 of the family's 1533-position model. The record is from RNAcentral.
GACGAACGCUGGCGGCGUGCUUAACACAUGCAAGUCGAACGGAAAGGCCCUGCUUUUGUGGGGUGCUCGAGUGGCGAACGGGUGAGUAACACGUGAGUAACCUGCCCUUGACUUUGGGAUAACUUCAGGAAACUGGGGCUAAUACCGGAUAGGAGCUCCUGCUGCAUGGUGGGGGUUGGAAAGUUUCGGCGGUUGGGGAUGGACUCGCGGCUUAUCAGCUUGUUGGUGGGGUAGUGGCUUACCAAGGCUUUGACGGGUAGCCGGCCUGAGAGGGUGACCGGCCACAUUGGGACUGAGAUACGGCCCAGACUCAUACGGGAGGCAGCAGUGGGGAAUAUUGCACACUGGGCGGAAGCCGGAUGCAGCAACGCCGCGUGCGGGAUGACGGCCUUCGGGUUGUAAACCGCUUUCGCCUGUGACGAAGCGUGAGUGACGGUAAUGGGUAAAGAAGCACCGGCUAACUACGU